CCUACGGGAGGCAGCAGUGGGGAAUAUUGCACAAUGGGCGGAAGCCUGAUGCAGCGACGCCGCGUGAGGGAUGAAGGCCCUCGGGUUGUAAACCUCUUUCAGCAGGGACGAAGCGUGAGUGACGGUACCUGCAGAAGAAGCACCGGCUAACUACGUGCCAGCAGCCGCGGUAAUACGUAGGGUGCGAGCGUUGUCCGGAAUUACUGGGCGUAAAGAGUUCGUAGGCGGUUUGUCGCGUCGUUUGUGAAAACCCGGGGCUCAACUUCGGGCUUGCAGGCGAUACGGGCAGACUUGAGUGUUUCAGGGGAGACUGGAAUUCCUGGUGUAGCGGUGAAAUGCGCAGAUAUCAGGAGGAACACCGGUGGCGAAGGCGGGUCUCUGGGAAACAACUGACGCUGAGGAACGAAAGCGUGGGUAGCAAACAGGAUUAGAUACCCUGGUAGUCCACGCCGUAAACGGUGGCGCUAGGUGUGGGUUCCUUCCACGGGAUCUGUGCCGUAGCUAACGCAUUAAGCGCCCCGCCUGGGGAGUACGGCCGCAAGGCUAAAACUCAAAGGAUUGACGG
This 565-nucleotide ribosomal RNA is filed under the name uncultured bacterium. RNAcentral describes it as "bacterial SSU rRNA". It matches the Rfam family "Bacterial small subunit ribosomal RNA", at positions 338 to 916 of the family's 1533-position model. The record is from RNAcentral.